RNAcentral lists this non-coding RNA (619 nucleotides) under unclassified sequences. RNAcentral describes it as "ROOL RNA". It matches the Rfam family "ROOL RNA". From Rfam's summary of the family: Firmicutes, Fusobacteria (1 example), Tenericutes (1 example). Environment (Cow rumen (57)) The record is from Rfam by way of RNAcentral.
ACUUUGAAAAAUAAAUACUUAUAACUCAGUGCUAAACAUAAUUUCGCAGAUUAUGCUGAGAAGCACCGUAAGGUCGGAUGUAAUAAGUUUUUAAAGGAUACUUUAAAACGCAAUCCGUGUAGUAAAUCGAGAGAUUUAUUAUGUAGAGGAUGGAAAAUCUCAAACCAAGGUGUGGUACUGGUUUUAACGCAAGUAAAGGUAGUAAGCGAGUGGGCGGCGCAAUAGAUAGCAGAACUAAUACUUUUGCCGAAUCUAAGUUAGACUUUGCGGGUGGUGCUGAAAGUAAACCUUAGAAAUACCAUAAGCCGUUUUGUCGUGAAACGAAGAAAUUCGUGUAUAACACUUGUAUGCAACUCCGAGUAGCCAAAAUGACAAGGCUGUAAUUCAAGUAAAUGUAAUUUCAAAUAUUGAUUUUAAUAGAAGAUUAAAAUUUUUACUUUGUGAAUUGCUGGUGAAAGGUGCAGGUAAUCAUUCCUGUCAGGGUUUUAUGAAGUUUAACUUCUGGGGUAGGAAAGUUAUGGGGUAGCUCCCUAUGGCUCACGCCUAUUUCCUCUGUGACUGAAUAUACUUGAAGUUAAUACGCAGUAGGUUGAAGAACCAUAAGAUAUUUAUUUUUCAA